RNAcentral lists this ribosomal RNA (373 nucleotides) under uncultured bacterium. Its description in RNAcentral is "bacterial SSU rRNA". It matches the Rfam family "Bacterial small subunit ribosomal RNA", at positions 525 to 896 of the family's 1533-position model. The record is from RNAcentral.
ACGUAGGAGGCGAGCGUUAUCCGGAUUUACUGGGUGUAAAGCGCGUGCAGGCGGUUUGAUAAGUUGGAUGUGAAAGCUCCUGGCUCAACUGGGAGAGGUCGUUCAAAACUAUCAGACUUGAGAGUGGUAGAGGAAAGUGGAAUUCCCGGUGUAGUGGUGAAAUGCGUAGAUAUCGGGAGGAACACCAGUGGCGAAGGCGGCUUUCUGGACCAUUUCUGACGCUCAGACGCGAAAGCUAGGGUAGCAAACGGGAUUAGAGACCCCGGUAGUCCUAGCAGUAAACGAUGUGAACUUGGCGUUGGUGGUGUAAAAACCAUCGGUGCCGAAGCUAACGCGAUAAGUUCACCACCUGGGAACUACGGCCGCAAGGUUA